UACGUAGGUGGCAAGCGUUGUCCGGAGUUACUGGGUGUAAAGGGCGUGUAGGCGGGAAGAUAAGUCAGAUGUGAAAUUCCAUGGCUCAACUGUGGCGCUGCAUCUGAAACUAUUUUUCUUGAGUGAUGGAGAGGAAAGUGGAAUUCCUAGUGUAGCGGUGAAAUGCGUAGAUAUUAGGAGGAACACCAGUGGCGAAGGCGACUUUCUGGACAUUAACUGACGCUGAGGCGCGAAAGCGUGGGGAGCAAACAGGAUUAGAUACCCUGGUAGUCCACGCUGUAAACGAUGGAUACUAGGUGUAGGAGGUAUCGACCCCUCCUGUGCCGCAGUUAACACAAUAAGUAUCCCACCUGGGGAGUACGGCCGCAAGGUUG
This 374-nucleotide ribosomal RNA is filed under the name uncultured prokaryote. RNAcentral's name for it is "bacterial SSU rRNA". It matches the Rfam family "Bacterial small subunit ribosomal RNA", at positions 524 to 896 of the family's 1533-position model. The record is from RNAcentral.